This is a non-coding RNA of Podarcis lilfordi (Lilford's wall lizard), 74 nucleotides long. The record is from the annotation of a GenBank genome assembly. Lineage: Eukaryota; Metazoa; Chordata; Lepidosauria; Squamata; Lacertidae.
AGAUAGCUCAGUCGGUAAAACAUGAAACUCUUAAUCCCAGAGCUGUGGGUUCGAGCCCCACAUUGGGUGAAAUA